RNAcentral lists this ribosomal RNA (301 nucleotides) under uncultured bacterium. RNAcentral describes it as "partial 16S ribosomal RNA". It matches the Rfam family "Bacterial small subunit ribosomal RNA", at positions 509 to 807 of the family's 1533-position model. The record is from RNAcentral.
CAGUAGCCGCGGUAAUACGUAGGGUGCAAGCGUUGUCCGGAAUUAUUGGGCGUAAAGAGCUCGUAGGCGGUUUGUCGCGUCUGCUGUGAAAACGCGAGGCUCAACCUCGCGCCUGCAGUGGGUACGGGCAGACUAGAGUGUGGUAGGGGAGAUUGGAAUUCCUGGUGUAGCGGUGGAAUGCGCAGAUAUCAGGAGGAACACCGAUGGCGAAGGCAGAUCUCUGGGCCAUUACUGACGCUGAGGAGCGAAAGCGUGGGGAGCGAACAGGAUUAGAUACCCCCGUAGUCCCUGUCUCUUAUAC